GCCGGCGUCGGGUGGACGAAGGCGGGCGUCCGCGCGCGGAAGAGAGAGAGAGAGGGGAAACCGGGCCGCGCUGUCUGUCUGGGCCGAAAGGGAGGCGGGUCAGCCCAGCAGCGCCUGCCGCCUUUUAUUUUCUUUUUUUUUUGAAAUUAUUUUCCCAAAAGCUUAAAUGAGACUUUUGAAGCUUUUACAAAUCAUUUUAGGGGUUGGAGU
This 210-nucleotide long non-coding RNA is filed under the name Sorghum bicolor (sorghum). RNAcentral describes it as "long non-coding RNA (SBIC_LNC014388)". The record is from RNAcentral. Lineage: Eukaryota; Viridiplantae; Streptophyta; Magnoliopsida; Poales; Poaceae.